Molecule: ribosomal RNA, 253 nt
Filed under: uncultured prokaryote
Description: partial 16S ribosomal RNA
Rfam family: Bacterial small subunit ribosomal RNA
Source: RNAcentral
AAUACGAAGGGGGCUAGCGUUGCUCGGAAUCACUGGGCGUAAAGCGCACGUAGGCGGAUUGUUAAGUCAGGGGUGAAAUCCCGGAGCUCAACUCCGGAACUGCCUUUGAUACUGGCGAUCUUGAGUCCGGGAGAGGUGAGUGGAACUGCGAGUGUAGAGGUGAAAUUCGUAGAUAUUCGCAAGAACACCAGUGGCGAAGGCGGCUCACUGGCCCGGUACUGACGCUGAGGUGCGAAAGCGUGGGGAGCAAACA